RNAcentral lists this ribosomal RNA (94 nucleotides) under uncultured bacterium. RNAcentral's name for it is "partial 16S ribosomal RNA". It matches the Rfam family "Bacterial small subunit ribosomal RNA", at positions 397 to 508 of the family's 1533-position model. The record is from RNAcentral.
CCGCGUGAAUGAAGAAGGCCUUAGGGUUGUAAAGUUCUUUCACCUGUGAAGAUAAUGACGGUAGCAGGAGAAGAAGCCCCGGCUAACUCCGUGC